AAUUACUAAUUUGGGCACCCUGCAGGUCCUGAUGAUGCCAGAUUAGUGAUGGUCAACCUGUAUUAAUAAUUUUAGGUGAUUUGGUGUGGUAGAUCCCCAGGCAUAACUUCCAAAGUACUGUAACUGUUAAUACUAUCCAGGAGUGUUACAUCUCCUAGAUUUUGUGUCACAAAAGCCACAACACAACUGGAGAUACAAAAGUCAACACUUCCCCAAAGGGCCAGCAUCUCUGCAACCAUCAAUAAUAAUGACUUCACCCAGCUCUGGCACCAUCACUCCUCAGCUCACUUUGGAUACUGCUCAGUUGGCACAAACACCCAUGGACCACACAAACAAAGUGACUCUAGCUCCUCGCCGCAUCCAGUCGUAAGUUGCUCUUUUUUGUUUUAAUUUGAAAAUUAUAUUUUAAAUUGUUGUUG
Cherax quadricarinatus is the source of this 419-nucleotide non-coding RNA. Lineage: Eukaryota; Metazoa; Arthropoda; Malacostraca; Decapoda; Parastacidae. The record is from RefSeq and is a predicted model, not a curated record.